RNAcentral lists this ribosomal RNA (446 nucleotides) under uncultured bacterium. Its description in RNAcentral is "bacterial SSU rRNA". It matches the Rfam family "Bacterial small subunit ribosomal RNA", at positions 355 to 825 of the family's 1533-position model. The record is from RNAcentral.
UGGGGAAUCUUGGACAAUGGGCGCAAGCCUGAUCCAGCCAUGCCGCGUGGAUGAUGAAGGCCUUAGGGUUGUAAAAUCCUUUCGUUGGGGACGAUAAUGACGGUACCCAAAGAAGAAGCUCCGGCUAACUUCGUGCCAGCAGCCGCGGUAAUACGAAGGGGGCUAGCGUUGUUCGGAUUUACUGGGCGUAAAGCGCGUGUAGGCGGAUUUGUAAGUUGGGGGUGAAAUCCCGAGGCUCAACCUCGGAACUGCCUCCAAAACUACAAGUCUGGACCUAAGUAGAGGCAAGUGGAAUUGCGAGUGUAGAGGUGAAAUUCGUAGAUAUUCGCAGGAACACCAGUGGCGAAGGCGACUUGCUGGACUUAUGGUGACGCUGAGACGCGAAAGCGUGGGAGCAAACAGGAUUAGAUACCCGUGUAGUCCCUGAGCGGGCUGGCAAGGCGCAU